This is a long non-coding RNA of Poecile atricapillus (Black-capped chickadee), 263 nucleotides long. RefSeq lists it as uncharacterized. The transcript is spliced from 3 exons. The record is from RefSeq and is a predicted model, not a curated record. Lineage: Eukaryota; Metazoa; Chordata; Aves; Passeriformes; Paridae.
GGAGAGCUGGGAUGAGGCUGGGAAGGGAAGGGAAAAGGGAUUUGUGGAGUUUUGGGAAUGGGGUGGGGUGGGAAUGGCCUGAGGGGCGGAGAGGGACGUCCCUGGGGGGAUUCUCGGGGUCCAGGUGUCACCAAACCCUGGGCAAGCUGUCCCAGGUGUCCCCAAGCCCUGGACAAGUGUCCCAGGUGUCCCCAAGCCCUGUCCCAGGUGUCCCAGGUGUCCCCAAGCCCUGGACAAGGUGUCCAAGAUGUCCCCAAGCCCUG